GACGAACGCUGGCGGCGUGCUUAACACAUGCAAGUCGAACGGAAAGGCCCUGCUUGCAGGGUGCUCGAGUGGCGAACGGGUGAGUAACACGUGGGUGAUCUGCCCCUUACUUUGGGAUAAGCCUGGGAAACUGGGUCUAAUACUGGAUAGGACCAUGCUGUAGGUGGUGUGGUGGAAAGAUUAGUUUCGGUAAGGGAUGAGCUCGCGGCCUAUCAGCUUGUUGGUGGGGUAAUGGCCUACCAAGGCGUCGACGGGUAGCAGGCCUGAGAGGGUGGACGGCCACAUUGGGACUGAGAUACGGCCCAGACUCCUACGGGAGGCAGCAGUGGGGAAUAUUGCACAAUGGGCGCAAGCCUGAUGCAGCGACGCCGCGUGGGGGAUGACGGCCUUCGGGUUGUAAACUCCUUUCAGCCAUGACGAAGCCCUUGUGGUGACGGUAGUGGUAGAAGAAGCACCGGCUAACUACGUG
This 469-nucleotide ribosomal RNA is filed under the name uncultured bacterium. RNAcentral's name for it is "partial 16S ribosomal RNA". It matches the Rfam family "Bacterial small subunit ribosomal RNA", at positions 28 to 507 of the family's 1533-position model. The record is from RNAcentral.